Molecule: long non-coding RNA, 885 nt
Organism: Acanthopagrus latus (yellowfin seabream)
Lineage: Eukaryota; Metazoa; Chordata; Actinopteri; Spariformes; Sparidae
Exons: 3
Source: RefSeq, a predicted model, not a curated record
AUUAAGGAGCUCCCGGGACGUGAGAGGAUAACUGCACGGCUAUUCGUGUCACUAUCAGAGCGUACCUGGGCGAGCUGUCAGUAAUGAAGCUGUGAUUUCCCAGGCAGCCGCCGACGCUGCACGUCGGGACAAGCCGCGCCAUUAAGAUUAUCCGUCCACUCGCAGACACAACUGUUGUUUUCACAUGCGCCAAGUGGCUGAAAACAAACGUGAAAGCUGAUCUGGCCCGGCGAUGACUCCCACAGGUUUGAUAUGGAACUCAAGCGUGCUGCUGAUGUUUUUUUUUUUUUUUUUUAAAUGGCUUGAAUGGUGGCUAUCAGCUGUAGCCAUACGGAUAACAUGAGGAACUGGAUUUCUGUCUCUGAGGGGGUAUUUUUACGCAGAGUCGUCUUGUCGAAAUGCGUCGCUGGUGUCAUGCAAGUGUUGCCUCUUUUUUUUUUUUUUUUUUUUACCUCCCUCUCUCUCUCUCUUUUACCUGCUGAACACACCAGCAGUGAAUAACCUCACUGUCUGCCAUCCUUGCAGGCCCAUUCUGUCUGCUCAGACAGGAGCACUGCUGAAGAAAGAAAAACACUAAACGCACACAGAGAUAUAUAUUUUUUGUUCUACGCCAAGAAAACAAUCUGCAUGCUGCUUCGCUUUGCGGCACUUUCUGAGAUUAAAGGCUUUUCCUAAUGAUCGAUCCUGUCCCUUCUUCAGGGGGACUGCUGCUGUGGCACACUGUGUUAUUGUGAAGACAACCCAUUUGCGGUGUUGGCUCCAACUCUGCGCCAGUGCCUCCCCGUGCCUGUGGUUGCAUGAGUGGAUGGUGGCUCUCAAGCUCCGACACUGUGGACGAGCCCGUGACCCGUGGAGGUGGGAGAGAGAGGCGGCGCGGCCUGCAAC